GUUAGUUAGUUAAAUAUCUGUUGUUGUUUGCUUUAAGUUGUCUAUGACAACAUGUGUGUACAGUGAAUUGAACCUUGGUAGGAAUAGAGUUUUCUGAGAAUAGUGAAGAGCUUGGUCCUGGUAUUUUUAAUAGGGCAUGCUCAUAUAAGUUUAUAAUGGUGUUAGAGUGGAAAACUCUUGAAGGUUUCUUUGUCUUAUGUUUCAGUGAAAUGAAAAACUCUUUAAGGUUUCUUUGUCUUAUGUUUCAGUGAAAUGAAAAACUCUAUUGUUUUGGAAUGAUCUAAUGUUGUUUAUAGAGAAAUUCUGAUAUGCUUCUAUUUUCUUUUUAUAUUGAUUGUUCUUUCUUCAACAUUUAUUAAUUAAUUUUAGCUAAUUUAUUUUAGAGUAAAUUACACUAACACCUUCCGAGUUUUAGUGAAAUUAUACAAAUCAUCUCUCCAUUAUUUGCACAUACAAAAAAUCUCAUAGUUUUUAUACAUAUCUUACAAUGACUACCCGUCUAUGAAAAAUAAGUGUGAUUUUUUAACAAAAAGGGUGAUAACUGCAAUUAAGUUAUACAAAAUAUAGUAUAUUGUGGAAACAAGUAUAAAUAACAUUCGAGUCAAUACAUUUUCAUUAUUUUUUGUUCAUUAGAGUGUGGUAUAAGAGUGAUUUAAAUAUGUUCUUAGAAUUAUUUAUGCAUAUUAUAUCGACUCGUAUAAUAUUUGGAUAUGUCUUCAUAAUAUAUCAUAUUUUGUUUAAUUUAAUUACAUUUAUCAUUCUUUUUGUUUAAAAAAUCAUACUUAUCAUGCAAGGGUAGUUAGUGUAAUGUAUGUAUAAAAAUCAGGGUUUUUUAUAGGUGCAAAAAAUGGAGGAUAAUCUGUAUAAUUUCACUAAAACUCAGGGAGUGUUAUUGUAAUUUACUCUUUAUUUUAUUAUCAACACCUACACUUUAACUUUGCUAAUUUCUCAAGAGGGUCCAUGCAUUGUUAAAGCAUAACAUGAAAUCAGAAACAUCUAGAGUAUGUUGUUGUUUUCUCAAAGCAAUCAUGUAAGAAUUUAGAAAUGCAUCAAGUUGAGAAAUGAGUAGACAAGAUCUAGAAGUGCAUUUUUUAGUAGGAAGAUCUUAAAAGUAUGUAUAGAAUUGUCCAAAUGUACCUAUAAAUACCCUCAUGCUCUCUGAAGUACGGAUUCGUCAAACACUCUCACGUAUCAGUAUCCGACGCGUAUCCGACACGGAUUCGCUCGGAUUCGCGAAGAAUAUGUAUUCGUAGAGUAUCCAAAAAUUAAAAAAAUAAAAUAAAUAUCAAGACACGUAUCCGAUUCGUUGGUAGUGGGCACCAAAUAAGUUGUGAGUUUUCUCUUUAUAAAACUCUUUUCUUCUUCCAACAAAGUGGUAUCAUGAGCUAGGUUUCAAGGCCAAAACAUCUUUGAGGAAUGAAGGGACAAAUAUACAGAAGAACAUAUACAUAUACAUACAUCUAUUAGGAGGGAUCAAUUUCCACCCAAGUUAAGUUACACUUAAUUUUAGGCAUUCAUUUUCUUAGAUCCAACGAACCAAAUGGGUGAAACUUAAGAAGUUAUUUAAGAUUUCUAUUUUUCUCUCUCAUCACUUAUUGCAUUCACUCAUUUGGUCUAUUGGAUCUAAGAAAAUAAAUGGCUGAAGUUGAGUGUAACUAAUGUAACUUAAAUGUAUAUACGCCGACUCUCUUAGAAAUGUAUAUCAUGAACUCACAUGCCUGUGAUCCCUGCAGUGUCCUAUUUGAUAUGACACUUGCUUCAUUCUAAAUGACAUACCUACAGCACAAUUUUGAUUGCAUUAUUUUCAUACAGAGAGAUCACUAGUAGUCACAAAAACAAAGAUAGACAUGAACAAAAAGUAUGUCAGAACCGACCAUCAUUUAGUGUCAAUUCGACUUGGAACUAAUCUUCCGUGAUUGCAAAUAUAAUCUUUUCGAAGGAAAUAACAUAAACUUUCGAGUCCUGUUAUUCGAACAUCCUAUUUGACAUCGCUUACAUUCAUUUAUAUCUCUCGCUUACUUUUUAUAUUCUUUAUAUACACUUACUAAAACAAAACAUCGAAAAUAUGAUAUUUCAAAAGUACAUCAUUGUAUUUGAUGUUGAAGAAGCAUAAGGAAAGAGAUCUAACUUCAAAGUAAAACCUUUUCUGUAAAUGCAUAACAAACAGUGUUCUUAACCAUGCCUUAGAUUUUGAAAUAUGACUUACGGAUUGCUCGAUAAUAACGAUGUUAAAUGCAGGGUUCAUUGCAGCAGCAUGUGGAAAACUGGAUAAUCUCUUACAACACUCUUCAAAUGUUGAAAGUAAUGGUCUCUCAAAAGCAGUAGGCACCGGUGUCUCGGCCGUAAAAACCCACAAUAAGAAAACUGCAAUGAAGCCAGCUUAUCGGCCGGAAUAUGUUUAUGGCAGCUGCAAUGGAUAUCAUUACUAAAUGUUGCUGGUUUUUGUUUAUCUUAGAAUUUUCAGGUUAGUUAGUUAGUUAAAUAUCUGUUGUUGUUUGCUUUAAGUUGUCUAUGACAACAUGUGUGUACAGUGAAUUGAACCUUGGUAGGAAUAGAGUUUUCUGAGAAUAGUGAAGAGCUUGGUCCUGGUAUUUUUAAUAGGGCAUGCUCAUAUAAGUUUAUAAUGGUGUUAGAGUGGAAAACUCUUGAAGGUUUCUUUGUCUUAUGUUUCAGUGAAAUGAAAAACUCUUUAAGGUUUCUUUGUCUUAUGUUUCAGUG
Molecule: long non-coding RNA, 2718 nt
Filed under: Lupinus angustifolius (narrow-leaved blue lupine)
Lineage: Eukaryota; Viridiplantae; Streptophyta; Magnoliopsida; Fabales; Fabaceae
Description: long non-coding RNA (LANG_LNC001093)
Source: RNAcentral